Long non-coding RNA from Nylanderia fulva, 1054 nucleotides. RefSeq lists it as uncharacterized. The record is from RefSeq and is a predicted model, not a curated record. NCBI's taxonomy places the organism in Eukaryota, Metazoa, Arthropoda, Insecta, Hymenoptera, Formicidae.
UGUCUUUUUAUAUCUAUUAAUCGCAUUUUCGAUAGAAAUAUAAAAAAUUCGAUGAAAUCUUACCCUCUCAGCCUCGUACCAUUUGGCAAAAUCUUCUCUACCCCGCCUAAUAGAAGACAAAGAAUCGCCUUUUUUAUGUACUCAUUGCCAUGUAUGGAUGGUGCGAGGGAUUUAGCAAGGAGCUCGAAAAUAUUUUUGCAGGGAUUAUUCUUCGCCAGCUUCUUGCACAUGGCCACGUCGUCGUGGGAGAUCGCGAGAUUGGCUUCCUUGCUCAAUUGCAUCACAUUGUUGGCGAUUAGAACAGUUCUGAUUGCACACAGAUAAUUAUUAUGAUAGAACACUUUUAGAUGAAAGUAAAAAGAAUUUACAAAUCAUAAUUAAAUUGAGAAAUAAUUCUCGAUCCUUGUCUAGGAUGUACCUAAAAGUGCCAGUCGUGUAUCCACCUUGCUUUCCUGGGAGACAUCGGUAAUUUCCAACAAUUUGCACUCGAUCUCCGGGCUUACACAAGUCUACUAAAUCGUUGUCGCAGAUCACGUCCACGCUUCUUGGUAGCUGUCCAGCUGGAGCUUUCUCCGGCAUUUCUUGUAUAGUGAGUGUUUGAUGAUCUUUGUAAGUGGACAAACCAAAUUCUGUUUCCAACGGGUUGCCAUCUUCAUCCUACAAAAUCAAAACAUUGGAUAAAUUGCGGAAUGUGGGAAGGCAUCCAAAGAAGUUAGAUCCGAAUAUGCUCUCUCCAAGACCGUUUUUGUCACAUCACAGUAAUGGACACUUCUUACAACUUUUGGUCGUACUAAUACUCACAUUUUGUGACGAUACCCUCCAUACAUACCAAGUUACCCAGAUAAUGUGAGGUAAGUGUUCUGGGUGUAACAUGUUUGUUUCCAAAGCUACCUUCAAAAGCUACAAAGAAAUCUUUGUUGCUCUUAGCAUAAUCAAUAUCUAUACUCGAAAUAUACUGUUUUAGAGCAUUUUGAAAUGCCAGUUGUUCUUCAAAAGAAUUAUUUAACAAGCUGCAAUAUAAUUAAUUUAUAAUUAUUCUCUCAACUUUUCAAGA